This 405-nucleotide ribosomal RNA is filed under the name uncultured bacterium. RNAcentral describes it as "partial 16S ribosomal RNA". It matches the Rfam family "Bacterial small subunit ribosomal RNA", at positions 28 to 526 of the family's 1533-position model. The record is from RNAcentral.
GACGAACGCUGGCGGCGUGCUUAACACAUGCAAGUCGAGCGGAGCGGCGAACGGGUGCGUAACGCGUGAGUAACUGCCCCCCUCUCUGGGAUAACAGUUGGAAACGGCUGCUAAUACCGGAUAGUGGGGGAUGAAUCGCUUCCUAUCAGCUUGUUGGUGGGGUAGUGGCCUACCAAGGCGACGACGGGUACCCGGCCUGAGAGGGGGACCGGCCACAUUGGGCUGAGAUACGGCCCAAACUCCAACGGGAGGCAGCGGUGGGGAAUAUUGCACACUAGGGGAAACCCUGUUGCAGACACGCCGCGUGCGGUAUGACGGCGUUCGGGUUGUAAACCGCUUUCAGCCAUGACGCGGUAGUGGCAGAAGAAGCACCGGCUAACUACGUGCCAGCAGCCGCGGUAAUAC